CUUGCUACACCAUAGACUGUGAGUUGCGAACGGGUGAGUAACGCGUAGGUAACCUGCCUAUUAGAGGGGGAUAACUAUUGGAAACGAUAGCUAAUACCGCAUAACAGUAUGUAACACAUGUUAGAUGCUUGAAAGAUGCAAUUGCAUCGCUAGUAGAUGGACCUGCGUUGUAUUAGCUAGUAGGUAGGGUAAAGGCCUACCUAGGCAACGAUACAUAGCCGACCUGAGAGGGUGAUCGGCCACACUGGGACUGAGACACGGCCCAGACUCCUACGGGAGGCAGCAGUAGGGAAUCUUCGGCAAUGGGGGGAACCCUGACCGAGCAACGCCGCGUGAGUGAAGAAGGUUUUCGGAUCGUAAAGCUCUGUUGUUAAGGAAGAACGAGUGUGAGAAUGGAAAGUUCAUACUGUGACGGUACUUAACCAGAAAGGGACGGCUAACUACGUGCCAGCAGCCGCGGUAAUACGUAGGUCCCGAGCGUUGUCCGGAUUUAUUGGGCGUAAAGCGAGCGCAGGCGGUUAGAAAAGUCUGAAGUGAAAGGCAGUGGCUCAACCAUUGUAGGCUUUGGAAACUGUUUAACUUGAGUGCAGAAGGGGAGAGUGGAAUUCCAUGUGUAGCGGUGAAAUGCGUAGAUAUAUGGAGGAACACCGGUGGCGAAAGCGGCUCUCUGGUCUGUAACUGACGCUGAGGCUCGAAAGCGUGGGGAGCGAACAGGAUUAGAUACCCUGGUAGUCCACGCCGUAAACGAUGAGUGCUAGGUGUUAGGUCCUUUCCGGGACUUAG
Molecule: ribosomal RNA, 783 nt
Filed under: uncultured Streptococcaceae bacterium
Lineage: Bacteria; Bacillati; Bacillota; Bacilli; Lactobacillales; Streptococcaceae
Description: bacterial SSU rRNA
Rfam family: Bacterial small subunit ribosomal RNA
Source: RNAcentral